GAUGAACGCUGGCGGCGUGCCUAAUACAUGCAAGUCGAGCGAACAGAUGAGGAGCUUGCUCCUCUGACGUUAGCGGCGGACGGGUGAGUAACACGUGGAUAACCUACCUAUAAGACUGGGAUAACUUCGGGAAACCGGAGCUAAUACCGGAUAAUAUAUUGAACCGCAUGGUUCAAUAGUGAAAGACGGUUUUGCUGUCACUUAUAGAUGGAUCCGCGCCGCAUUAGCUAGUUGGUAAGGUAACGGCUUACCAAGGCAACGAUGCGUAGCCGACCUGAGAGGGUGAUCGGCCACACUGGAACUGAGACACGGUCCAGACUCCGACGGGAGGCAGCAGUAGGGAAUCUUCCGAAAUGGGCGAAAGCCUGACGGAGCAACGCCGCGUGAGUGAUGAAGGUCUUCGGAUCGUAAAACUCUGUUAUUAGGGAAGAACAAAUGUGUAAGUAACUAUGCACGUCUUGACGGUACCUAAUCAGAAAGCCACGGCUAACUACGUG
Molecule: ribosomal RNA, 497 nt
Filed under: uncultured bacterium
Lineage: Bacteria
Description: partial 16S ribosomal RNA
Rfam family: Bacterial small subunit ribosomal RNA
Source: RNAcentral